GGAGGGAUCGCAUAGUGGCCUAGUGCGGCCGCCUGCUAAGCGGCUACAGGGGGAAACUUCUGUCGUGGGUUCGAAUCCCACUCCCUCCGCCA
RNAcentral lists this transfer RNA (92 nucleotides) under Chloroflexota bacterium. Its description in RNAcentral is "Chloroflexi bacterium (cold seep metagenome) tRNA-Ser". It matches the Rfam family "tRNA". From Rfam's summary of the family: Transfer RNA (tRNA) molecules are approximately 80 nucleotides in length. Their secondary structure includes four short double-helical elements and three loops (D, anti-codon, and T loops). RNAcentral also lists the same sequence under 1 other name. Lineage: Bacteria; Bacillati; Chloroflexota. The record is from RNAcentral.